RNAcentral lists this ribosomal RNA (333 nucleotides) under Epiperipatus paurognostus. RNAcentral describes it as "partial 12S ribosomal RNA". RNAcentral also lists the same sequence under 1 other name. Lineage: Eukaryota; Metazoa; Onychophora; Udeonychophora; Euonychophora; Peripatidae. The record is from RNAcentral.
ACCCUGUUAUUCUAAAUUUUAUAUCAUAUUUCAAAGAAAAUAAAACAAAAUAAAUUUGACGGUAUUAACUUUUACAAAGGAAUUUGUUUCUAUAUCGAUAACACACGAUACACCUUACUUAAUACAUAUCUGUAUACCACCGUAUAUGAAAUUAUUAAAAAUUAAUCUCUAAAAAGAAAAAAAUCUUUAAAAUCAGGUCAAGGUGCAAUUUUAUUAAGAUGAAAUGAAUUACAUUAAUUUAUAUUUAUUUAUAAAAGAUGAAACUCCUUUUAAAAAUAGAAUUUGUAAGUAAAAUUUUAUCAUAAUGAUAAUUUGAAAACUAUCAUUAAUAUG